GUGUUUUACAUAUCUGUUCCGUUUUAAAAAUAGGUAAAUGAUUAGAGCUUUGGCGCUGGGCAGACUUGGGACGAAACCCGAGCUGCGCUGUUCAUUUGCUGCUGCUGCUCACAGGGCCCGGGCAGGCUCCUUCCCCUUCUCUUCCUCCUCCACACACGGAGGACACAAACGGAACCGUCCUAGUGGGGUUUCCGAGACUGGGAGGGGGAAACAUCUGGCGGGGAAACAGCUGGAAUGACCGGAAGUAUCAGGACCAACUUGGCAACUGUUGAGUACGUGGAUGGAGAAAGAAUAUGUGAGGGCCCGGGAUGUGGCGCAGUGGCACCAUGCCUGCCUAGCAAGCGCCAGGUCUGGACUUUGAUCCCCGGAAGAGUGCGUGAAAGAACGACAUCAAUUUUUGUCUGACACCAGGGAGGACGCAUUCUUUUUCUCCUGAAAUUGAGACCUUUUUUCCAGUGCUGAGCCCACACGCUAGGCAAGCCCAGCCACUGAAGAUUGUGACUUGGGUGCCCACGCUCUUAUCACAGCAGAGGCGUGGAUGGGAAGGGAGAGGAACAGCGGUCGGACAGACCAUUUGUGACCUGAUGCCUCCCGGUGGACAAAGGAGCGAGCCAUCAGCGUCUGCACUAUUUCCAGUUCCGGUGGAAGCGAAACGACUUACAUGUGCAUAAAAUGGAGAGGAGAUUCCGCGUUAUGCUAAGUCGAAGCCUGAUAACAGUUUUAGCUGCACGCAGAAUUCUGCAUGGUUUCAGAAUUUACUGAAAGGGUUCACGUGUGCUGCUGGACGCUAUCAGAACCCUCACAGAACAGCAGCUCCCCUACGAUGCUGGAGUCACCUUAAAUCUCAGACUGCGCGAAAAUGAGAACGCUAUUUGCCAAAACAAAAACAAAGAGAAUAAUUGUGCAUUAAGGUCAAACCUAGUAAUAGCGUCCUUCGCGUUUAUCUG
Molecule: long non-coding RNA, 947 nt
Filed under: Heterocephalus glaber (naked mole-rat)
Lineage: Eukaryota; Metazoa; Chordata; Mammalia; Rodentia; Bathyergidae
Description: lncRNA (ENSHGLG00000042971.1)
Source: RNAcentral